GUAGGUGAACCUGCGGAGGGAUCAUUACCAAAGAUGGCGGGCCUCCGCGCCCCCGUCCCCAACCCAUUGUUGACCAAAACCCUUUUGCCUCGGGGGCAGAGCGUCCGCCGCCGCCCCCGGAGGACCAUUUAACGCUGUCUCUUUGCGUCGGAGUAUUGAUUAAAUGAAUGAAAACUUUCAACAACGGAUCUCUUGGUUCUG
Molecule: unclassified non-coding RNA, 201 nt
Filed under: rhizosphere metagenome
Description: partial ribosomal RNA internal transcribed spacer region
Source: RNAcentral